AUUGAACGCUGGCGGCAUGCCUUACACAUGCAAGUCGAACGGCAGCACGGGUGCUUGCACCUGGUGGCGAGUGGCGAACGGGUGAGUAAUACAUCGGAACAUGUCCUGUAGUGGGGGAUAGCCCGGCGAAAGCCGGAUUAAUACCGCAUACGAUCUACGGCUGAAAGCGGGGGACCUUCGGGCCUCGCGCUAUAGGGUUGGCCGAUGGCUGAUUAGCUAGUUGGUGGGGUAAAGGCCUACCAAGGCGACGAUCAGUAGCUGGUCUGAGAGGACGACCAGCCACACUGGGACUGAGGCACGGCCCAGACUCCUACGGGAGGCAGCAGUGGGGAAUUUUGGACAAUGGGCGAAAGCCUGAUCCAGCAAUGCCGCGUGUGUGAAGAAGGCCUUCGGGUUGUAAAGCACUUUUGUCCGGAAAGAAAUCCUUGGCCCUAAUACGGUCGGGGGAUGACGGUACCGGAAGAAUAAGCACCGGCUAACUACGUG
RNAcentral lists this ribosomal RNA (486 nucleotides) under uncultured bacterium. RNAcentral describes it as "partial 16S ribosomal RNA". It matches the Rfam family "Bacterial small subunit ribosomal RNA", at positions 30 to 507 of the family's 1533-position model. The record is from RNAcentral.